RNAcentral lists this ribosomal RNA (482 nucleotides) under uncultured bacterium. RNAcentral describes it as "bacterial SSU rRNA". It matches the Rfam family "Bacterial small subunit ribosomal RNA", at positions 28 to 507 of the family's 1533-position model. The record is from RNAcentral.
GACGAACGCUGGCGGCGCGCUUAACACAUGCAAGUCGAACGGAGUUGUUGGAACUGAAGUUUUCGGAUGGACGUACUGACAACUUAGUGGCGAACGGGUGAGUAACGCGUGGGUAACCUGCCUUUUAGAGGGGGACAACAGUUGGAAACGACUGCUAAUACCGCAUAAGACCACGGUACCGCAUGGUACAGUGAUCAAAGGAGCAAUCCGCUAAAAGAUGGGCCCGCGUCUGAUUAGAUAGUUGGUGGGGUAACGGCUCACCAAGUCAACGAUCAGUAGCCGGACUGAGAGGUUGAUCGGCCACAUUGGGACUGAGACACGGCCCAGACUCCUACGGGAGGCAGCAGUGGGGAAUAUUGCACAAUGGGGGAAACCCUGAUGCAGCGACGCCGCGUGAGGGAAGAAGGUAUUCGUAUUGUAAACCUCUGUCUUCGGGGACGAUAAUGACGGUACCCGAGGAGGAAGCACCGGCUAACUACGUG